GGCGACCCAUAGCGCUAUGGGGUGUGUGGGGGGAGAGGGGGCAGGGGGUGACCCAUAGGGACAUGGGGUGGGGGGAGCACAGGGCUGAGUCCCUGCCCCAUAGCGCUGUGGGGUGGGGAAGGUGUCAGGCUCUGACCCACAGCGCUAUGGGGCAGCCCCCACACUCCCACAUCCCACCCCAUAGCUCUAUAGGGCAGCCCCUCCGCCCCCCAGCUCUAUGGGGCAGGAAUCAUCCCCCACCCCCUGCCCUAUAGCGCUGUGGGGCAGGGUGGCGUUGUCCCUCACCGUCUCGGCGUGCUGCCCCACGGCUGGCACCGCGCAGAGCCUCAGCACCAGCAGCGCCCGCGCCAGCUCCCAGCUGCUGCGUCCCCCCAGCGCCGCCCCCCCCCCGAAAUCCAGGGGGGCGCUUGGGGGGCAGCGGGCCGUGGGGCGCCGUGGGGCACCCCAUAGCGCGGCCACCCCCCGGGGGGCUCGGCGCAGCAAGGCCGGGGGCAGCAUGGGGCUGUGGGGGUGGUGGCGGGGCUGUGGGGCUGCCCCAUAAGUAGCCCCCCCCGGGGGUCACUCAUUAACCCGGCCCCGCACGGGUCACUGGAGGGGCUCAGCCCCACAGCAGGGGGGGCUCCCGUGGGGCAGAGGGCGAAGGGCGAAGUGCGAGGGGAUGGUUGGGGGGCGGGACCCAUAGCAGGGGCUGCGUGGGGGGCAGAGAGCCUCUGGGCCCCAUAGCGGGGCAAUGUGUGGGGCAGGAGCCUUCUGUGCCCCCCCAACCCCAUUCUGUGGGGCAGGAGUCCCCAUAACCCCACACCCCUGCCAUGGGGCAGAGCCCUCUGUAACCCCACACCCCAGCUAUGGGGCAGUCCCCUUGCUAUGGGGCAGACCCCCAUAACCCCCCCCCAAGCACACACACCCAGAGCCCUUCUUCCUUCGGGUGCUUUUAUUGGUGGACCCCGUGGGGCCGGAUCCGUGGGGCUCGCUGUGGGUCUGGCCGUGGGGCUGUCUCCGUGGGGCUGUCUCCGUGGGUCCGGCUCAGUAGUUGGAGCCGCGCUCCUGCUGCCGGUAGCCGCCGCGCCGCAGGUAGCCGCCGUCGCCCUUGCGGUAGCUGUCCUUCUGGUCUGGGGGCAGGGGGGUGAGCGGGGCCGUGGGGCGCUAUGGGGCAGGCUGUGGGGCGCUGUGGGGCAGGGCUCACCGCGGAAGUAG
Molecule: long non-coding RNA, 1194 nt
Filed under: Anas zonorhyncha (Eastern spot-billed duck)
Lineage: Eukaryota; Metazoa; Chordata; Aves; Anseriformes; Anatidae
Description: lncRNA (ENSAZOG00000008019.1)
Source: RNAcentral